CAGCGGGAUAACCCGGAGAAAUCCGGCCUAAUACCGCAUGUGGCCGAGGGGAGGCAUCUUCUUUCGGCCAAAGGAGGCAACUCCGGAGACGGAUGGGCAUGCGUGACAUUAGCUUGUUGGCGGGGUAACGGCCCACCAAGGCGACGAUGUCUAGGGGUUCUGAGAGGAAGGUCCCCCACACUGGUACUGAGACACGGACCAGACUCCUACGGGAGGCAGCAGUGAGGAAUAUUGGUCAAUGGGCGAGAGCCUGAACCAGCCAAGUCGCGUGAAGGAUGACGGCCCUACGGGUUGUAAACUUCUUUUGUCAGGGAGCAAUUGAGUCCACGUGUGGGCUUAGCGAGAGUACCUGAAGAAAAAGCAUCGGCUAACUCCGUGCCAGCAGCCGCGGUAAUACGGAGGAUGCGAGCGUUAUCCGGAUUUAUUGGGUUUAAAGGGUGCGUAGGCGGAAUAUCAAGUCAGCGGUAAAAAUUCGGGGCUCAACCCCGUCGUGCCGUUGAAACUGAUGUUCUUGAGUGGGCGAGAAGUAUGCGGAAUGCGUGGUGUAGCGGUGAAAUGCAUAGAUAUCACGCAGAACUCCGAUUGCGAAGGCAGCAUACCGGCGCCCAACUGACGCUGAAGCACGAAAGCGUGGGUAUCGAACAGGAUUAGAUACCCUGGUAGUCCACGCAGUAAACGAUGAAUGCUAAUUGUCCGGA
This 698-nucleotide ribosomal RNA is filed under the name uncultured bacterium. Its description in RNAcentral is "bacterial SSU rRNA". It matches the Rfam family "Bacterial small subunit ribosomal RNA", at positions 136 to 828 of the family's 1533-position model. The record is from RNAcentral.